RNAcentral lists this long non-coding RNA (1163 nucleotides) under Cicer arietinum (chickpea). RNAcentral describes it as "long non-coding RNA (CARI_LNC002174)". The record is from RNAcentral. Lineage: Eukaryota; Viridiplantae; Streptophyta; Magnoliopsida; Fabales; Fabaceae.
UUGCUAUUAUGUUCAUUCAGUAAAUUAAACUAAUAAGUCUACUUUGCUUUAUCUAAAAUGAAAAAUUGAUAAAGUAAAAAAUAACUAUUAAUAUGUACAUAUAAUAUUAAUCAUUAAUUUAAUGAUGAAUGAUUAAUAUACUUAAUUUAUUCUCUCAAGUGAGAUGAGUUGUUGAGUUUAGAUGAAAUGCUUAAAUCCCUGAACCAGUCACGAGUAUGGGCCUCAUUUCCAGACCGUUUGGCCCGUUUAACGAAAAAGAAAAGAAAAAAAAACAGAGAGAGGCAUCGGCGGUGCCUGCCAGAUUCGUGUAGCGAGACUAAGCAGUCUUCCACCACCACCACCACCACACUCUCAUCUGAUUCUCCAACUCUCUCCCUUUUCCAUUUUCAUAUCUCAAAUCAAUUUUUCCAUUUCAAUCGUUUUCACUGUCUGAGAUAACAAGAUCUCAAACCAAAUUAUCUCUAUUCACAACUCAGAUGCACAAAUAAUAAUUAUACACUCAUUUUUCGAUCCAAAUCCUCUUUAUGUCUUGUUUAGCACUUUCUUUGCAACCUUCCAAUGGAUCUGAUAUUCUUCUUCAAACCCGCGAGUGGUUCCCACCCUCACGCGCCCUCGGUGCCCUCUCCGCUUUUCGACAUACACGACGUCAAAUCAAUUUUUCCAUUUCAAUCGUUUUCACUGUCUGAGAUAACAAGAUCUCAAACCAAAUUAUCUCUAUUCACAACUCAGAUGCACAAAUAAUAAUUAUACACUCAUUUUUCGAUCCAAAUCCUCUUUAUGUCUUGUUUAGCACUUUCUUUGCAACCUUCCAAUGGAUCUGAUAUUCUUCUUCAAACCCGCGAGUGGUUCCCACCCUCACGCGCCCUCGGUGCCCUCUCCGCUUUUCGACAUACGCGACGCGCCUUCGCCGCCAACAAAAACAAAAACAACGUUCCCGACGACGCCUACGCCGCCGAAUCCAUCGGCGAUGAUCCCCUCGCCGCUUCCAGCGGCCAAGUCAUCGUCGGUGUCGAAAGCCGCUACCGUAUCGUUUACCGUUUAGUCAACGGAAUCUACGUUCUUGGAAUAACCGUCGCCGAUCACGACAAUUCUGUCAACGUCUUUGAAUGCAUCCACAUCGUAAACCAAGCUGUCAGUGUCGUCGUCACCGCCUGCCGCGGCGU